GGCUGUCUUAGUGACUUACAAGCAACUCACUGUGCUUUUGUACCAGACUAUCUAAAUUUUUAAUUCGAUGAUGGAAGAUUUUUAGAUACAGUCAAAUACUUGUGAAGUCUGAAUGCGAGUCAAGAUGGGAUUGGCAGCUUCAAGUAAAAUUGGAGAUGAUGCAUCAUUAUGUUUCAAUUCAGCAAAACUUUGGCCAAAGUAGUCCUAAUGAAGAGUCACAAGAUUUUUAAGAUGGAGACACAAUGUGGACCACUCUUUCUGGGUUGAC
This 268-nucleotide long non-coding RNA is filed under the name Elaeis guineensis (African oil palm). RNAcentral's name for it is "long non-coding RNA (EGUI_LNC074249)". The record is from RNAcentral. Lineage: Eukaryota; Viridiplantae; Streptophyta; Magnoliopsida; Arecales; Arecaceae.